Molecule: long non-coding RNA, 362 nt
Organism: Lolium rigidum
Lineage: Eukaryota; Viridiplantae; Streptophyta; Magnoliopsida; Poales; Poaceae
Exons: 3
Source: RefSeq, a predicted model, not a curated record
AGGCGCAGCAGGAGCUGGCUGCUCACCUGGCAGCGCCUCUCCCAUCACCCGCAGGCCGCAGCGGACGAGAGGCCAAGCAGGGGAAGAUGGGGGUGGAGACUGAAGGCCACGACCACCACGCGGGCGCAGCAGAUGGCGAGGACAAGGGAGGCGGCGACCCCCACGCCCUCUCAUCCCUUACCCAUGUUGGGUGCCCAGGAGACAGAAACAUUGCUAUCCAUGUGUCCUGCUGCAUGUGUUGCCGCUUCUGAAGCGAUGGAGAGGAGCAACAGAUGGGAACUUGGGGUGCUUGAUAGGAGUGGAUUAAUUAGGUACGAGCCCAAGCGGAAGGCUUCAGGCACGCCUCACUUAGGUGGAAAGAG